GCGAACGGACGAGAAGCUUGCUUCUCUGAUGUUAGCGGCGGACGGGUGAGUAACACGUGGAUAACCUACCUAUAAGACUGGGAUAACUUCGGGAAACCGGAGCUAAUACCGGAUAAUAUUUUGAACCGCAUGGUUCAAAAGUGAAAGACGGUCUUGCUGUCACUUAUAGAUGGAUCCGCGCUGCAUUAGCUAGUUGGCAAGGUAACGGCUUACCAAGGCAACGAUGCAUAGCCGACCUGAAGGGUGAUCGGCCACACUGGAACUGAGACACGGUCCAGACUCCUACGGGAGGCAGCAGUAGGGAAUCUUCCGCAAUGGGCGCAAGCCUGACGGAGCAACGCCGCGUGAGUGAUGAAGGUCUUCGGAUCGUAAAACUCUGUUAUUAGGGAAGAACAUAUGUGUAAGUAACUGUGCACAUCUUGACGGUACCUAAUCAGAAAGCCACGGCUAACUACGUGCCAGCAGCCGCGGUAAUCACGUAGGUGGCAAGCGUUAUCCGGAAUUAUUGGGCGUAAAGCGCGCGUAGGCGGUUUUUUAAGUCUGAUGUGAAAGCCCACGGCUCAACCGUGGAGGGUCAUUGGAAACUGGAAAACUUGAGUGCAGAAGAGGAAAGUGGAAUUCCAUGUGUAGCGGUGAAAUGCGCAGAGAUAUGGAGGAACACCAGUGGCGAAGGCGACUUUCUGGUCUGUAACUGACGCUGAUGUGCGAAAGCGUGGGGAUCAAACAGGAUUAGAUACCCUGGUAGUCCACGCCGUAAACGAUGAGUGCUAAGUGUUAGGGGGUUUCCGCCCCUUAGUGCUGCAGCUACGCAUUAAGCACUCCGCCUGGGGAGUACGACCGC
This 841-nucleotide ribosomal RNA is filed under the name uncultured Staphylococcus sp. RNAcentral's name for it is "bacterial SSU rRNA". It matches the Rfam family "Bacterial small subunit ribosomal RNA", at positions 66 to 889 of the family's 1533-position model. The record is from RNAcentral. Lineage: Bacteria; Bacillati; Bacillota; Bacilli; Caryophanales; Staphylococcaceae.